Molecule: long non-coding RNA, 2331 nt
Organism: Oncorhynchus kisutch (coho salmon)
Lineage: Eukaryota; Metazoa; Chordata; Actinopteri; Salmoniformes; Salmonidae
Exons: 2
Source: RefSeq, a predicted model, not a curated record
GGUUAGAGCGGCAGGCGGCCUAGUGGUUAGAGUGUUGGGGCAGUAACCAAAAGCUUGCUGGAUCAAAUCCCUGAGCUGACAAGGUAAAAAGUUGUUUUUCUGCCCCUGAGGAAGGCAGUUAACUCAUUGUUCCCCGGGCGACGUGGAUGUUGAGUGCAGCAGCCCCCCGUACCUCUGAUUCAGAGGGUUUGGGUUCAAUACGGGAGACACAUUCCAAUUGAAUACAUUCAGUUGGACAACUAACUAUUCCUUAAAAUGAGGGACAGACCUAAAUGAAUCACUAAUCACAAUAAAUAAUCAUCUUCAGAAAUAACUGCCAAAGCAACAAAAUAACUGGGACUUUCAACUGGAUGCAAAAGACACUGAUUUUGUGGAACGGCCCAGCUUCUCUAUUACAGAGGACACUACAGGUGUACUCCACAGUGGACAGAUGACACUAUACAGGUGUACUCCACAGUGGACAGAGGACACUAUACAGGUGUACUCCACAGUGGACAGAGGACACUAUACAGGUGUACUCCACAGUGGACAGAGGACACUAUACAGGUGUACUCCACAGUGGACAGAGGACACUAUACAGGUGUACUCCACAGUGGACAGAGGACACUAUACAGGUGUACUCCACAGUGGACAGAGGACACUAUACAGGUGUACUCCACAGUGGACAGAGGACACUAUACAGGUGUACUCCACAGUGGACAGAGGACACUAUACAGGUGUACUCCACAGUGGACAGAGGACACUAUACAGGUGUACUCCACAGUGGACAGAGGACACUAUACAGGUGUACUCCACAGUGGACAGAGGACACUAUACAGGUGUACUUCAAGAUGAGCCUUGAAAGGAGUCUAUGGACUGAUGUGUGAUUCUGAGGAGAGGAGAGGAGAGACUGGUGUGAGGACUAGUAUCUAACUGGUAUCUGUGUGAGGAGAGGAGAGACUGGUGUGAGGACUAGUAUCUAACUGGUAUCUGUGUGAGGAGAGGAGAGACUGGUGUGAGGACUAGUAUCUAACUGGUAUCUGUGAGAGGAGAGACUGGUGUGAGGACUAGUAUCUAACUGGUAUCUGUGUGAGGAGAGGAGAGACUGGUGUGAGGACUAGUAUCUAACUGGUAUCUGUGAGAGGAGCGACUGGUGUGAGGACUAGUAUCUAACUGGUAUCUGUGUGAGGAGAGGAGAGACUGGUGUGAGGACUAGUAUCUAACUGGUAUCUGUGAGAGGAGAGACUGGUGUGAGGACUAGUAUCUAACUGGUAUCUGUGUGAGGAGAGGAGAGACUGGUGUGAGGACUAGUAUCUAACUGGUAUCUGUGAGAGGAGAGACUGGUGUGAGGACUAGUAUCUAACUGGUAUCUGUGUGAGGAGAGGAGAGACUGGUGUGAGGACUAGUAUCUAACUGGUAUCUGUGAGAGGAGCGACUGGUGUGAGGACUAGUAUCUAACUGGUAUCUGUGUGAGGAGAGGAGAGACUGGUGUGAGGACUAGUAUCUAACUGGUAUCUGUGAGAGGAGAGACUGGUGUGAGGACUUUCCAUUUCAAAUAUGGACCAUAUCUUAUAUUUGUUUGUUUUAAUAACUUUUCACCUCUAGUUUGUUGGUUUGUUUGUGUUGUUGUUCAUCUGCUGCUGACUAAUUUACAAUAUGGGAUUCUGGUACUGUUUAAUUUCACAACCCGGUUUACAAUAUGCAGGUCACUCCAGAAGCGGAAUUUUGCAACCCUUAGAUGGUACUUGAUUGGUUCAAUGAAUCUCAACGAAACCGAAGUGUGAUAUGUAAUUAUCACGUAAUUACCGUUUUAAUUUGUAAGGAACUACACUUCCUGCUAAACAGUGGGUUGUAAAAACGAAGCAUUACUGAGAUUCUUUGUUUCUCCGUUUUGAUACACCUGGAAAUGUACAUGCAAUGAUUAUGAAUUUGAUUUGACUUGUUUUGUUCUCAUGUAUUAUGUGCCUUUCUGUAUGUGACAAUUCUGUUUAAAUGAAACAUUUUUAAUCUAACAAACCCGCUCCAUGAUUUUUUCUUUCUUUAACUAGGCAUGUCAAUUAAGAACAAAUUCUUAUUUACAAUGGCGGCCUACCGGGAACAGUGGGUUAACUGCCUUGUUCAGGGGCAGAAAGACAGAUUUGUUUUACCUUGUCAGCUCGGGGAUUCGAUCCAGCAACCUUUCGGUUACUGGCCCAACACUAGGCUACCUGCCCCAGGUGUUUGAAUGAGUGUGGACAUGUUGUGGUUGACGGUUUGUUUUGCUUGGGAAAAUGUUGUGAAUACUACCUUAGUGGUGUGGAGGACAAUAAUGGUCAAAAUAAUGAAUGAAUUGAUUAAAUGAAAUUAAAUGAA